UACGUAGGGGGCAAGCGUUGUCCGGAUUUAUUGGGCGUAAAGAGCGUGUAGGCGGCCAGAUAGGUCCGUUGUGAAAACUCGAGGCUCAACCUCGAGACGCCGAUGGAAACCAUUUGGCUAGAGUCCGGAAGAGGAGAGUGGAAAUCCUGGUGUAGCGGUGAAAUGCGCAGAUAUCAGGAAGAACACCCGUGGCUAAGGCGGCUCUCUAGUACGGUACUGACGCUGAGACGCGAAAGCGUGGGGAGCGAACAGG
Molecule: ribosomal RNA, 253 nt
Filed under: uncultured bacterium
Lineage: Bacteria
Description: partial 16S ribosomal RNA
Rfam family: Bacterial small subunit ribosomal RNA
Source: RNAcentral